Molecule: ribosomal RNA, 253 nt
Filed under: uncultured bacterium
Lineage: Bacteria
Description: partial 16S ribosomal RNA
Rfam family: Bacterial small subunit ribosomal RNA
Source: RNAcentral
UACGUAGGGUGCAAGCGUUGCCCGGAUUUAUUGGGCGUAAAGGGCGCGUAGGCGGCUCUGCACGUUCGUUGUGAAAUCGCCCGGCUCAACUGGGCGGGGUCAGCGGAUACGGCAGAGCUUGAGCAAGCUAGGGGGCAAUGGAAUUCCCGGUGUAGUGGUGGAAUGCGUAGAUAUCGGGAGGAACACCGGUGGCGAAGGCGGCGACCUGGGUAGAUACUGACGCUGAGGCGCGAAAGCGUGGGGAGCAAACAGG